Long non-coding RNA from Poecilia reticulata (guppy), 2218 nucleotides. RefSeq lists it as uncharacterized. The record is from RefSeq and is a predicted model, not a curated record. NCBI's taxonomy places the organism in Eukaryota, Metazoa, Chordata, Actinopteri, Cyprinodontiformes, Poeciliidae.
AAAAUUUCUUAUUUCAAGCACAGAAAGCGAAAUCACAUACUUAAUUAAAUGUAUUCAGAUAAUUAAAACAGACUAUGUCCAAAUGGAAUCCUUUGUGUUAUUGUCAAUGAAAAAUAAAAAAAAAACCCAUGAACUUAUAUUCUUGUAUAAAUUGGCAGAGUGUACAGGAAAUUAUAAUUUAAUAUUUAAACGAUUGACAUUUAACACAACAAUUUCAGAAACAAUAUCAGUUUAUAUAUCAAGAUAAUUCUUGGCAUGUUUCCAUCUGCUAAGGACCUUCUUAAUUUGAUCUUCUUGAUGCAACCUCUUACUGACAUGUCAUGAAAUUUCUAUUGAUGUGUGAUUUGAAAUGGCUGGUAUUCCACACAAUGAGAUUAGAAUCAACAAUAUUGAUUAGCUCAAUGUCAUGAUAAAUAUUUUAACUUUUGGUUUAUAUUUCAAAUUCUUACUUUAUAAGUUACUAAUAUUAGUUUGAACAAUAUUUUAUUCAUCAUGUUUGUAACCCCUUUUAUGACAUCAUACAAUCCACAUGGGAAAGCGCCCAAAAUGUCAGUGAGAUAGUAUUAAUGUUCGAUACAACAGAUUUUCUUUCUGAUCCAAUCGAGUAAAAUUUAAGGUGGUAUUGGCAAUACAGAUCCCAUACUUUGUGCAAAAGACAAUUAAUUUGUUUCUUAAUUAAAUAAAAAAUAAAUGUAAUCCAUAUCUUGGCUUCAUAAAAAGAACACAAUGUACUCUGAUGCACUCAUUUUAAACUCAGAAGUAUAUUGAGACAACAAUCCCGUUUACUAUAAACUAUUUUAAUUCAGCAGAAAUAUACAAAACAUGUGAAAAUGGAGUUGCAAACUAAAAAAAAGAAAAUUAGUAAAGUAAUAACCCUACUAAACACAUCCUUGUUUAAUUAUUAAAACUACUAUAAAAUGACAGCUGAAAUGGCUCCAUGUCACUUUUUUAAUAAUCUGUCAACAUGUCCAUUUCUGAGUGAGUGAGMGUCAGCAGCACGCUGCGCUUGGGCAUUACGUCCUUACACAUUACAUACUCACCAGGCGGAAGAAAAAGUAGUUCCCAUUAACAACGUUUCAUUUCGGCAAGAUCUCAAUAAUUUAGUUACUUUCUAACUUGCUCUUGUUAAUCUACAUUAUCUCAAAUUACUAAAGUGUUGAAAGUAUUGAUCCUUGGAUCUGACAAUAGAUUUUAAAGAAUUAAGUUCUGGUAUCGGAAGAAUCGAUAUUUCAGUAUCAAUCCGCACAUCACUAACGGCAACGCCAGAGAUCAUUUAACUGCCCUGAUUAACCGUUAAUUCAGUUGUAACAGCCUAACUAAGCUUUUAUCUACUGUACUUUUAUAAGAUUUUCUUUUGGCAAAUUCUCUAAUCUCGGUUGGACAUGAAUGAAGAUGGAGGACUUUUUUACGUGUAUAGACCCUACAGCUGCUGUACUGAGAGUAAACCAAACUGUUGCCAUGGUGAAGCCUAUGCCAGACACAUCGUCAAUCACGUAUUGCACCAUCUACAAGAAACUUUGGGAAUUGCAAGUGACGGCAUCCUUCACAUUCUUGAGCAGAUGACCCAACAACUUCAAACAAGACCACUUUUCAGCUCUGUGGUGAUCGUGAAACUAACUUUCUACUGGCCAUUGGAACCAUGCUGCCUGCCCUGAUCUUCUGAAAGGAGGACAUCAUAGCUACUACACCUUUCAGCAUCCGUGUGUCUGGGGCCACUCCUCUCUGUGCUGCUGACAGACGUCUUGAGAACACCGUCCGUAACUGAGGCAAGACUUCCGCAUAUAAAAGGCUAUGGCUUAUUGGAAGAAGUUCAUUGCGGGGAAGCUCCUAUUGUUGACAUCUAAUCCCAAGAUUUUUUUUUGCUUUGGACAAUUUGGUUUGCUUGACUCUUAGUGCAGCAGAUGUGUCAGAUCGUCAUUGUUCUGUCAUUUUACAGGAUUGUUUCAGAAUCAGAUGCCCAUCCAGACUUAAAAUUCUGACCAGUAGUCAUGUUUUAUUGUGUUUAUGUGAAACUUAAACGUAAUAAAGAUGUUAAAAGUAAUUGAACUUAUGUCUUCAUUUCAGCAAGCCAAUAACAUAUCUUGUUCCAGUAUUCACAGGAUCAAUUUUUGGAUUUUUGUCUUAGCAUAAGAACCUUGAGUAAGGCUAUGAUAAAAUAUAUAUUUUAAUCCUAUGCAACAAUAAAAAUAAACUAGAUUUAGGUAUAUCACUGCAAAAA